This 253-nucleotide ribosomal RNA is filed under the name uncultured bacterium. Its description in RNAcentral is "partial 16S ribosomal RNA". It matches the Rfam family "Bacterial small subunit ribosomal RNA", at positions 524 to 776 of the family's 1533-position model. The record is from RNAcentral.
UACAGAGGUCUCAAGCGUUGUUCGGAUCCAUUGGGCGUAAAGGGUGCGUAGGUGGCGAGGCAAGUCUGGUGUGAAAUCCCGGGGCUCAACCCCGGAACUGCACUGGAUACUGCUUUGCUAGAGUACUGGAGAGGAGAUUGGAAUUUACGGUGUAGCAGUGAAAUGCGUAGAUAUCGUAAGGAAGACCAGUGGCGAAGGCGAAUCUCUGGACAGUUACUGACACUGAGGCACGAAGGCCAGGGGAGCAAACGGG